GCCGCCGCCCCGCGCGGCGCCGCCGCACCUCCGGGCCGCUCCACUAGAAAACGCCUCUUCUCUCAGACACAUCGUUAUCUGCCAAUUCUUCGCAGACGUAGAGAACGGACUGCAGAGUUAAUAAACGUCGAGGGGAAGCUUUGAUGCGCCCCAUUUGGCCCUGAGAGAUGCCACGUGAUCGUCAUUUUAAAUCCUUUCCUGGGCUUCCCGAUGGACUCGAGUUUUUACUAUGUGAGCAUCCCGGUGCCUGCACAGCAAGGACUCUCAUUGGGUUCCACACGUGCUGCGCAGAUCCCUGACGCAGCGUUCACUGAACCUCAACUGCAGGAGCUUCAUUCCUGAGGACGCUGUUACCAAGAAUGACUUGCCUCUUGAAGAAUGAGUUUGCAAAGCCGGCAGUUAGAUUGCUGAUGUCCAAAGUAAGUAUGUGUAGCAUCACUAAAGAGAAAAUUCAGGAUUCCUGGAAAACAGUUAUGGGCUCUCUGCAGUGUUAUUUUUGUAAUAAAAAACAUAUAGCAUAUGUGAAAUACCUACUGGGUGAUGCAGGACACAUAGAAGGCUCGAAAUUAAUGUGAAUCAUUCUCGUUUUUCUGACUGUCAUUAAAAGUCCCCAUUUGUAUUAUGUAUGAGUGGUAUAUCAAUAUCUAAACUACACUUUAUUGUAGGUCCCAACCAACAUUAGUUUAUUGACAAAUGUUUAAGAGCAGCCAAAAAUUCAUAGAAUACCUAUGAUUCUUAAAUCAUGAACACUCCCAUAACUGGUAUAUGUUUAGGACAUGAAAAUUUCCAGGCUGACAAAUAAUUUCGCUGUCAUCGGUCAAGACUCCAGGAUGAUAUUCUGAGCCAUAUGUUAAUUUUGAUAACCACCUAGAACAAUAAAAGGUAAACAUGCUACCAUCUUCUAUUCUCAUUGCACCACUGGAUUCUGGUACAUCUAAAAAUUGUACUUAAAUGAUAUCCAAGAAAUGCUGUAAAAAACAAAAUAGGGCCGGGCGCAGUGGCUCACACCUGUAAUCCCAGCAUUUUGGGAGGCCAAGGCGGGCAGAUCACGAGGUCAGGAGAUCAAGACCAUCCUGGCUAACACGGUGAAACCCCGUCUCUACUAAAAAUACAAAAAAAAAAAAAAUUAGCCGGGCAUGGUUGUGGGUGCCUGUAGUUCCAGCUACUCAGGAGGCUGAGGCAGGAGAAUGACGUGAACCCGGGAGGCGGAGGUUGCAGUGAGCUGAGACCGCGCCACUGCACUCCAGCCUGGGCGACAGAGCAAGACUCUGUCUCAAAAUAAAUAAAUAAAUAAAAGAAUGGGCUUUUCUGUUAUUAAUUCCAUUUUAUACAUGGUGAGACUGAAAUGCAAGAUAAAGGACUGGACUGAAGCUAAACAAACCUGCACUGGGCGAGGUUGAAAAAGACCUUUUUAAUCUAUAAGUCGGUUUUUGAAAAUUCAAGUUUCUACUUUAUAAUUUUAGUUUUCCUUUUAAACGUAUAUUAUUGUUAGUUGCACUGUUCAAAAAGUUUUACAGCUUCUAUUUCAAUCAGCACUGGUAUACUAAUAUUUUUAAGUAUCUCCUAUCUAAAACCAAAAUCUACGUAAAACCUAAAAGUACCAGGUAAUAGAGGACAACAGAGCAAGACUGUCUCUUAAAAAAAGAAGUAUCACAUAAUA
Molecule: long non-coding RNA, 1660 nt
Organism: Homo sapiens (human)
Lineage: Eukaryota; Metazoa; Chordata; Mammalia; Primates; Hominidae
Gene: AFDN-DT
Product: AFDN divergent transcript
Source: Ensembl